Molecule: ribosomal RNA, 1424 nt
Filed under: Staphylococcus saprophyticus
Lineage: Bacteria; Bacillati; Bacillota; Bacilli; Caryophanales; Staphylococcaceae
Description: 16S ribosomal RNA
Rfam family: Bacterial small subunit ribosomal RNA
Source: RNAcentral
AUGCAAGUCGAGCGAACAGAUAAGGAGCUUGCUCCUUUGACGUUAGCGGCGGACGGGUGAGUAACACGUGGGUAACCUACCUAUAAGACUGGGAUAACUUCGGGAAACCGGAGCUAAUACCGGAUAACAUUUGGAACCGCAUGGUUCUAAAGUGAAAGAUGGUUUUGCUAUCACUUAUAGAUGGACCCGCGCCGUAUUAGCUAGUUGGUAAGGUAACGGCUUACCAAGGCGACGAUACGUAGCCGACCUGAGAGGGUGAUCGGCCACACUGGAACUGAGACACGGUCCAGACUCCUACGGGAGGCAGCAGUAGGGAAUCUUCCGCAAUGGGCGAAAGCCUGACGGAGCAACGCCGCGUGAGUGAUGAAGGGUUUCGGCUCGUAAAACUCUGUUAUUAGGGAAGAACAAAUGUGUAAGUAACUGUGCACGUCUUGACGGUACCUAAUCAGAAAGCCACGGCUAACUACGUGCCAGCAGCCGCGGUAAUACGUAGGUGGCAAGCGUUAUCCGGAAUUAUUGGGCGUAAAGCGCGCGUAGGCGGUUUCUUAAGUCUGAUGUGAAAGCCCACGGCUCAACCGUGGAGGGUCAUUGGAAACUGGGAAACUUGAGUGCAGAAGAGGAAAGUGGAAUUCCAUGUGUAGCGGUGAAAUGCGCAGAGAUAUGGAGGAACACCAGUGGCGAAGGCGACUUUCUGGUCUGUAACUGACGCUGAUGUGCGAAAGCGUGGGGAUCAAACAGGAUUAGAUACCCUGGUAGUCCACGCCGUAAACGAUGAGUGCUAAGUGUUAGGGGGUUUCCGCCCCUUAGUGCUGCAGCUAACGCAUUAAGCACUCCGCCUGGGGAGUACGACCGCAAGGUUGAAACUCAAAGGAAUUGACGGGGACCCGCACAAGCGGUGGAGCAUGUGGUUUAAUUCGAAGCAACGCGAAGAACCUUACCAAAUCUUGACAUCCUUUGAAAACUCUAGAGAUAGAGCUUUCCCCUUCGGGGGACAAAGUGACAGGUGGUGCAUGGUUGUCGUCAGCUCGUGUCGUGAGAUGUUGGGUUAAGUCCCGCAACGAGCGCAACCCUUAAGCUUAGUUGCCAUCAUUAAGUUGGGCACUCUAGGUUGACUGCCGGUGACAAACCGGAGGAAGGUGGGGAUGACGUCAAAUCAUCAUGCCCCUUAUGAUUUGGGCUACACACGUGCUACAAUGGACAAUACAAAGGGCAGCUAAACCGCGAGGUCAUGCAAAUCCCAUAAAGUUGUUCUCAGUUCGGAUUGUAGUCUGCAACUCGACUACAUGAAGCUGGAAUCGCUAGUAAUCGUAGAUCAGCAUGCUACGGUGAAUACGUUCCCGGGUCUUGUACACACCGCCCGUCACACCACGAGAGUUUGUAACACCCGAAGCCGGUGGAGUAACCAUUUAUGGAGCUAGCCGUCG